GGAAAAUUAAAUGCUUUUAUAUUGUUGAUUUGUCUUUGAAUAAAUUUCAAUGCUUUUGUUGCUUUUGGAAUUCUAGACAAAUUUUUACUCUUGCAUUUUGUUUUCAAUGAGAAUGAGUUCUGGAAACAUGUUGAGUUUGGUUCUUGAUUUCUAGUUAUUUUAGUUGAUGGGUUCUUUGGAUGGGGAGAGAGAGAGAGGAAGAAAAAUAUAUGUGUUUUGAGAGAGAGGGGUCUAUGUGUGUGUUGAGAGAAGAGAGAUAAAGGGUAGAGGUGGC
This 274-nucleotide unclassified non-coding RNA is filed under the name Hevea brasiliensis (rubber tree). The record is from RNAcentral. Lineage: Eukaryota; Viridiplantae; Streptophyta; Magnoliopsida; Malpighiales; Euphorbiaceae.